Molecule: non-coding RNA, 739 nt
Organism: Punica granatum (pomegranate)
Lineage: Eukaryota; Viridiplantae; Streptophyta; Magnoliopsida; Myrtales; Lythraceae
Source: RefSeq, a predicted model, not a curated record
AUAACACAAUUUUUACCUUAUUUUCACUUCCUAGCACGUUUUUAAAAGUUGGCACGGUCUAGCACGAAUCAUCAUUUUAUUUCCGAAUCUAGCAUACCGUUAAACUCCGUUUAAAAACCCUACUAAUGCCGUCAAACUAACUGACGGCGGGUCUUCUUCUUCUUCCUCCUCCUGUUACUCCUUCACGACUCUGCUUCUCGGCUCCUCCCGUUCUACCGAUUUCCUCCUCCCGCAGCCCUUUCCAACUCCUUUCCUUGGCAAUCUUCGCCACCGCCUCUUCUCCCCUACUCGCAGGGAGUCUCCUUCUUAUUCUCUUUUCUUUCCUUCUAUUUCUCCAUUAUCUAAGCUUGUGAUUUGGGAUGGUCAUCUCAUGUUUGCAUAUGUUGCAUCUUCUGAGCUUCCACUGGGCAAGCCCUGCAGGUGUUGAAUGGGACUCAGUUAGGUGGACAGAGCAUACGACUUUCAUGGGGCCGCUGUCCCUCGAACAAGCAGUAAUGGUUCUAAGACGAAAUCUGAGCUGGAGCUAGAUAAUUUGCAGGCAUAUCUUGGUGGCUGUAUCUGUGAAGAGUCGAAAUUAGUAGUUGCUAGCAGUGACCUUGUUGUAUCCUCUUAGAGGAUUCUCUGUUACAUGUUAGUGAACAUCCUUGUGUCGUGUGAAUGCGUGCUGCAGGCAGGCACUGCUGUGUGUAAUCUGAUGAAUUUGAGCUUUAGACUUGUCGCGAAUGAGGUUUUGCUUUGA